UAGUAACGGCGAGUGAAGCGGGAAGAGCUCAAGCUUAAAAUCUCCGUGCAAGUUUUGCGCGGCGAAUUGUAGUCUAUAGAGGCGUGGUCAGCGUGGGCGCUUGGGGCAAGUUCCUUGGAAGAGGACAGCAUGGAGGGUGAUACUCCCGUUCAUCCCUGAGUGGCUCGUGCGUACGACCCGUGUUCUUUGAGUCGCGUUGUUUGGGAAUGCAGCGCAAAGUAGGUGGUAAAUUCCAUCUAAAGCUAAAUAUUGGUGCGAGACCGAUAGCGAACAAGUACCGUGAGGGAAAGAUGAAAAGAACUUUGAAAAGAGAGUUAAAGAGUACCUGAAACUGCUGAAAGGGAACCGAAUCGUUUCCAGUGUCUAUAAUCCGUGGCAUAUUUCAUUGGCGAGUGUGCGCGUGCGUGUGCUGUGGCAGCGGCCUUUUUGGGCUGCGCUCGGUGCGUGUGCUGUGUGUGCUUGCUGGUGCCCUGUGCUGCGGUGGGACGUCAAGGUCAGUUCGUAUGCUGCGGGAAAUGGCUGCCGAGGAGGUAGGGCUUACGCUCCGCGUUUGUCUGUUAUAUCUUGGUGGACGAGUCGUCGCGGUUGGGACUGAGGUGCCUACAACGUGCUUUUGAGUGGGUCUGUGUCUCCGUGUGCGCCGUGUGCGGAUAGCUUGCUAUGCGUGUGUGGUUGUGUGUGGAUUGAUGCGGGCCUUAACUUGUCGCCGUUC
This 712-nucleotide ribosomal RNA is filed under the name Phytophthora x cambivora. RNAcentral's name for it is "eukaryotic LSU rRNA". It matches the Rfam family "Eukaryotic large subunit ribosomal RNA", at positions 81 to 618 of the family's 3401-position model. Lineage: Eukaryota; Oomycota; Peronosporomycetes; Peronosporales; Peronosporaceae. The record is from RNAcentral.